This 253-nucleotide ribosomal RNA is filed under the name uncultured bacterium. RNAcentral's name for it is "partial 16S ribosomal RNA". It matches the Rfam family "Bacterial small subunit ribosomal RNA", at positions 524 to 776 of the family's 1533-position model. The record is from RNAcentral.
UACAGAGGGUGCAAGCGUUAAUCGGAUUUACUGGGCGUAAAGCGUGUGUAGGUGGCUUCCUAAGUCGGUUGUGAAAUCCCUGGGCUCAACCUGGGAAUUGCAGUCGAUACUGGGAAGCUCGAGUUCGGUAGAGGGCGGCGGAAUUCCCGGUGUAGCAGUGAAAUGCGUAGAGAUCGGGAGGAACAUCAGUUGCGAAGGCGGCUCUCUGGACCAGUACUGACGCUGAGGCACGAAAGCGUGGGGAGCAAACAGG